UUGACAAUUCUUUUGCUUUCCCCAUGAUUUAGAAGCCAGAAACAUCAGUGCAGCACUGGAUGAAAGAUGAAGGGCCUGUCAAGAGCCCAGAAACUCACUGACCUUUUAUACACACACACGGAUUACAAGCAAAUAGAUCACAGGUGAGGAUGGUUACCUUUAGUAGCCAUUCAAACCCGUUUGUGUCAACUUGUGUGCCUGUUAUCAGGCCAAACCUCCAGGGUAUGUAAACUUUUGAUCAGGGCCAUUUGGGUACUUUCUAUUGUCAUUAUAAUUUAAAAAGAAUAAACACAGUUGUUUGAUAAUAAUAAUAAAAAAAACUAUAGCACAACACUAACCAUGAGUGAAAGAAAGGUUUUUGUGUUAUCAUUCAUAUUCUCUGAAAAAUGGCCAAGAAAUCAUAAAUUCUGCCAGGCUAUGUAAACUUAUGAGCACAACUGUACAUAGGCUGGCUGGUAAAGGUUAACAGUUAUCCAUUAAUAUAUGGUCAGUUUGCUGCAUUCACAUUGUUCGGGAACAUUUUCAGGACUUGAACUUUGAUGUGUUCACAUUAGAAUUAGAAUUCCAAGUUAAGAUGUUACUUUUUACACACAUUUUACAUCUUCAGCCAUUAACUCAAAAUCCAGCACGUAGUGCACAGAUAGUACUUUGCCAUAGAUUUAUGAUCUCACAACCAUAUUUAUUUGAAAGGAACAAGCCAUUAGCUUCAUUGAGGAAAUCAACUUUCAGGAUGUCUGAGUGCUAAACUGCACCUGCAGUAGAUUUUAAAGCCUCUCCCAUAAGACAUGAAUGCCGCUUUUUCAAUGAAGACAGCCUCUGUCAGUCCGUCCAAAUGGUCCUGCUGAGAAGAACUUCCUCUGGUAUCUUAUUGCUAUGAUCCAGCAGAAUAGGAGAGCUUCUCUCCUCCUGCAUUAGUGUUUCACAUUUACACAGGCCUUUUUUUAUUUUUUGCACAUGUACAAAUGCAGGAAUUUAACGAUGUGCUUUUUGUAUAUGCAACAUGGUCAAGCACAUGUGUUUUUGUUGUUGGGAUGAACAGCAGGUUUAGGAACACCUGCUAAUUUAUAUUAUUCUCUUGUAUGAGCACCAUAUUGUUUUUUGUUACAUUUGUUACAUUUUUAGAAAGAUCAAACAGCCUGACAAGGUUCAGUGAUGUAAUUCCUGGAAGCACAAGUCACAUUAUUUUUCACUUUAAUGAACUGGAAUUCUUAAAACUACAAUUGAUAAGGUUUAAAGUGUAAACACAAAGAUGUCAUGCUCCAUCUCACUUUGCUGAGAUGCUGUCAAUACAUAUCAUGUGUCCUGUGGACCCUUGCUAAGAUGUGGUAUUGGGUACGGACAGAACUUUUUUGACACAUUAAUCCAUGAUUUGCAAACAGUUUUUUGGCACAUCCAGUACAACAUUAGUUACCAUUUGGAGUAUUUCAGUCCAGUGUGUCCUGUUCUCUGCCUCUUUCAUCUUUGAUUAACUCUUAAUCGUCAUCUGUCUAGGGCCCCUUUCAGACGGGCUUUCCUUUCCAGUAAGCUGACAGCAUCUGAACGUGUUGACUUCAUGUCUGAAUUAGCACCCUGGUAACUUUUCCAUGAAAGUUGUGAUGGGAACCUUAUUAUAUCUGAUUUAUUAACAUGCAUUUUACUCUGAACAAAGCACAAGUCUAAAAUGUAUGUGGUCGCAUCAACAAAUAUUCAAGCUUAAGCAGUGUACUUCAAGAUAUGUGAAGUGAUUCGAGGAAGACUUUUUCCACCUUUUAGCACCAUGAUUGGUCAACAAAUAUGUUGACCAAAAUAUGUUGACCAACUCUGUCCUUUGUCCAGAGCGCAAAGGACACAGUGUGGUACCAAAAUCACAAAACACCUUUCUCAUUCACUCUUCUCUAAAAUUUCAUAUCCAUUGCAAACAAAAGUGUCCAGAAGAUGGACAUUUCAGAAUUUAGGAAUACACUUGCUAUAGUCUCUGUCUUUAUCUCAACAAGACAGAUCAGGUCAUAUUAUUGAUACUCACGAAUAAUGAAUGUAAUCUAGGUUUUCACAAGGAGACUUUCCUCUGGGUUUAAAUACCUGCAGCAUCAGACAGCAGGAGGGUUUAUACGAGCAUCUUUGAGAGAGAGAGUUUCAUACAUUUACGCACAUGGAACAGCAGCAGUAACUUUAUCAAUUACUUGUAAUUAUUAAUUAUCCCCAAUAUGGAGACAGGAUUAUCAGGAUCCAACAAGUCACAGUUUGAACUUCUCCUAACAUCAGACAGGUGAGCUCACAGUCACAGAGUGAGUAAGUUUCAUUUAAAUCAUUUGUUACAUAGUGAUCGUCCUCACAUUGAGUCCACAGCUCCAUCACAGCUGUUGGGACAUUUUUAUUUUAAUGUCAGUAAAGAUAUCGUUAGAUUAUCAUGCAUGGACAGUAUUUUCAGUGUGUAGGAAAUCAUAAAUGAAGUAGUCUAUUAGUUAUUUGAACAGUUUUCUAAACUUACUAUUAGUGUAGAUUUACACUUUUGUUUAUUAGUGUUUUAUUAAGUAUCAUACAUCAGUUGAUGUACUGUCCAGUCUCACAUGUACGAUGAAUAUCACAUGCACCAUGGAUCUAUCACAACUGUGGUGGGUGUUUCUGAAUGAAGCUGUGAUGAACAUUAAAGUAAACGUGACCCAUUGAGAAUAGCUUAAUAAAGCAGCAAUGUUAUGUAUCCCAUGUCAAAAAAAGGCUUAGCUGUGUGGGGCUGGGCAGUUAAGAGUGCAGUCAAUUUCUUUCCAAACAUGUUCCAGAGAAAAAAAAGCUUCCUGCUGUUGUGUGAAACAAGCAAAGAAGUUUGUGGGAAAAACUGUAAUAGCAAAACAAUGUGCGGCAAGACUCGAAAAUACUGUGUGGAACUGCCCAGUUUGUCACUAUGAUCAACCCCUAUUCCAUUACACAUAGUCAUGAUCUGUUUUAAAUGUUAAAACAAUAAUCAGUGCAGCUUUAAAGUGCUUUAAUCAACAUGACUCCAAAUGAAUGCUAAUGUUGUUCUGUCUGGUGAAUGUAUAAUUAUAUGCAACUGUCAUAUCAUUUCCAUCUUUUGCUCCUGCCUGUCAGCUCUCCAUUUAUAGGAAGAAACAGCUCUUAUCUGUUUUGUGUCUUUUGUAUCAUCAGCAAACUGCCAAGUGCAGUUUAUUGAUGUCACCUUGUCUUCAGUUCAAAAUCCUGUAAUCGCUGAAUGCACCAAGGGGACAAGUUGGCCAUUGCAGCUUUACAGAGCUUAGAUUUAAUUAAAACCCAAACUGCCAGCCACAGCUACUCAGAUACUCAGAUUUAGGGUUUUCUGAGCCAAACCUUUUAUCCAUUAAGCAGAUCAUAGUGAUAUUGGGUAAUGCAACCUAGCUAGUUAGCAUAGACUUAGCAACUGUAAAUAAAAUGUAGUUGUCCAUUUCAAAUGUGUGUUUAAAUAUUUACCACACAGGUGUGGUGUCAGAUUUAAAGUUGUGUACUGAAAAUGGAAAUGAAUGCACUCAUGGUUAAAGUCACAUGUAGUGUUCAGUGUAUACAGUUAGUGUCAUUAUACUCACAUGACAUCUGAAAACUGCAUCUGUGGAAUUUUUGGACUGGGGAAUCUUGCUUAUUAGUAUGGGAUGCUAAUUUAAAGGGACAUUGCAUUCAGUUUUUUGCUAGAGGAGAAAUUUCUUGAUGCCUCUGAAAAGCAGUACCAGUGUCUUGCUCAGUGGGACUUCGGUGAGAGUAGGUGAUCGAGGUGACAGCAUUAAUGACUUUCUGCCUUAUAUCCAUGAACUGAUGGUCUUCUGAACUAUCAUCGACUCAUUUAAGCUUUCCUUUCAGUGGUUUUCAUAAAAAGUGAUUUAUCAGUCAAACCUAGCAGAGCAACACUGUUUCAACAUUGAUGUCUUGCCUUAUACUAACAUAAUAAAUUGUCUGGCAUUCUUCCGAAGCUGCAGCUCUUUAGAUAUUCAAGCACAAAGACUGAAUGAUAUUUUUUUUGUAUUUAUUAAACUGCAAAAACAUAUGUGGGAGUGACUGGAUAACAUACUGAAGAAUGGAAGUGUAAUAUGUAAUGUAGACAAAGUCUACACUGUCUAAUUCCCCCUUGCUGUAAAUAUAUAGUCACCUAAAAUUUAAGCCCUCAGCUCAGACUCAUGGAAUGUAUGAUUCACUUUUUUUUCUUCAGUGAUGUAUAAUGAGCUUGAAGUCAAAAUAUUUCUGUUGUAUAUGUCUUUUAGUUACAUGACAAUACAUUUCUAAGUGUAUCUAACAUGUUGAAAGGGUGUUAUCAACCCACAGGGGAACAGAGAUCGACCAACUAAAGACUUUCACAAAGACAGUGAUGAACUUCAUCAUAUUGUACCCAUUUAAAAUCAUCAUUUAAUAAACUAGAAACCAUCAGGAUGGACAUUUUUGUGUGCGGAAGGAUGCCUGGGAAAACAUCUUCUAAUACAGCUAACAGACGUUUUAUCACUAGAGAUGUUCUUCUGCAUGGGCUAUGAUAAAAGCUGCACAUUUUACAUUUUAUUUUUACCAAAUCCUUUUCCUGGUGAUACUGCGUGUAAGUAGGUUAGUGUUGAUAUUCAGUGAUAGAUUAUGUGUUGCCAGAGGGCCGCAGAGCCUGUUUUAAUUAGAAAUAGUUACAGCCUCUAAUUCUCUUCUACCCUCCUGUUACGUGUGAAGACCCUUCCUUGACGUCCUCAUGAGAUGACCUCCUCCUGACAUCCUACUCCUUUUGGCAUUUACAGCAUCAAUAAACACUACACAUUGUGACAAGCUGAUACCUGUUCUAACGUAUGUCAGAGCACAUUCCACAACAUGCCUCAGCACAUCUGCAUGUGUAACCUAUGAGUCUGUCUCUGAUAUUUUGCCUUUUGUUGUUUUAACAAACUGCAAAUAAACCAGAGGUGAAUUGCCUGAGUAGA
This is a long non-coding RNA of Amphiprion ocellaris (clown anemonefish), 4886 nucleotides long. NCBI's taxonomy places the organism in Eukaryota, Metazoa, Chordata, Actinopteri, Pomacentridae. The record is from Ensembl.